UUUUCCCAUAACCCAGGGCGGGUUUGUGCCCUGCCCCGUUCCCAGCAGAGCUGGGGGCUCCUCUGGCCCUGCUCUGCUGCUGCCCCCCUGGCUCAGCUGCAGACCCACAGUUCCCCUCUGUGAGCAGGAGGUUCUACAGAGUUUAUGGCAACGGCCCCAAGCCCUUCGAGCUGACCCAGUUAAACUUCAAAUCCACUUGCCAGAGGUUUGUUGAGAAAUACAAUGAGCUGGAGAAAGAAGGGAAAAUUGAGGAGGAGAAACUGUUUGAAGAAACAGGAAAAGCCCUCUUGGCCAGUGGGAUCCUUCUGCAGAGGAGAGGAGUGGAUAGAGCCUCCAGGGACCCUGCCCUGCAGCUGCAGGAGAAGAGGAAGGACGGGGAGCAGCCACCAGAGCUGGCAGGGACACACAGGGAGGGUCCCUGUCCCUCCUGACAGCCCUGUCACCUGCCAGACCUCCC
Molecule: long non-coding RNA, 457 nt
Organism: Passer montanus (Eurasian tree sparrow)
Lineage: Eukaryota; Metazoa; Chordata; Aves; Passeriformes; Passeridae
Exons: 3
Source: RefSeq, a predicted model, not a curated record